RNAcentral lists this ribosomal RNA (253 nucleotides) under uncultured bacterium. RNAcentral describes it as "partial 16S ribosomal RNA". It matches the Rfam family "Bacterial small subunit ribosomal RNA", at positions 524 to 776 of the family's 1533-position model. The record is from RNAcentral.
UACAGAGGGUGCAAGCGUUGUUCGGAUUUACUGGGCGUAAAGCGUACGCAGACGGCUUGGUAGGUCGGGUGUGAAAGCCCCGGGCUCAACCUGGGAACUGCAUUCGAUACUGGACGGCUAGAGUAUGAGAGAGGGAGGUAGAAUUCCACGUGUAGCGGUGAAAUGCGUAGAUAUGUGGAGGAAUACCGGUGGCGAAGGCGGCCUCCUGGUUCAAUACUGACGCUGAGGUGCGAAAGCGUGGGGAGCAAACAGG